CCUACGGUUGGCAGCAGUGGGGAAUAUUGGGCAAUGGGCGCGAGCCUGAACCAGCCAAGUCGCGUGAGGGAAGACGGCACUACGGGUUGUAAACCUCUUUUGCCGGGGAGCAACGGGCGCCACGCGUGGCCCCACUGAGAGUACCCGGAGAAAAAGCAUCGGCUAACUCCGUGCCAGCAGCCGCGGUAAUACGGAGGAUGCGAGCGUUACCCGGAUUUAUUGGGUUUAAAGGGUGCGUAGGCGGAGCGUUAAGUCAGUGGUCAAAUGGGGGGGCUCAACCCCUGCCCGCCAUUGAAACUGGCGCUCUUGAGUGGAAGAGAAGUAUGCGGAAGGCGUGGUGUAGCGGUGAAAUGCAUAGAUAUCGCGCAGAACCCCGAUUGCGAAGGCAGCAUGCCGGCUUCCUACUGACGCUGAGGCACGAAAGCGUGGGGAUCGAACAGGAUUAGAUACCCUAGUAGUC
This 460-nucleotide ribosomal RNA is filed under the name uncultured bacterium. RNAcentral describes it as "partial 16S ribosomal RNA". It matches the Rfam family "Bacterial small subunit ribosomal RNA", at positions 338 to 795 of the family's 1533-position model. The record is from RNAcentral.